CAAUAGCGUAUAUUAAAGUUGUUGCGGUUAAAAAGCUCGUAGUUGGAUUUCUGCCGAGGACGACCGGUCCGCCCUCCGGGUGAGUAUCUGGCUCGGCCUGGGCAUCUUCUUGGAGAACGUAGCUGCACUUGGCUGUGUGGUGCGGUAUUCAGGACUUUUACUUUGAGGAAAUUAGAGUGUUUCAAGCAGGCACACGCCUUGAAUACAUUAGCAUGGAAUAAUAAGAUAGGACCUCGGUUCUAUUUUGUUGGUUUCUAGAUCUGAGGUAAUGAUUAAUAGGGAUAGUUGGGGGCAUUCGUAUUUAACUGUCAGAGGUGAAACUCUUGGAUUUGUUAAAGACGGACUACUGCGAAAGCAUUUGCCAAGGAUGUUUUCAUUGA
RNAcentral lists this ribosomal RNA (380 nucleotides) under uncultured eukaryote. RNAcentral's name for it is "partial 18S ribosomal RNA". It matches the Rfam family "Eukaryotic small subunit ribosomal RNA", at positions 592 to 976 of the family's 1831-position model. The record is from RNAcentral.